CCUGAUUGGUCGAUAUGUGCGCCCGUUAUUUUUUAUUUUUAAAGACUUCGUGCACUCUGCUUUAUACAAAAGGCAAAAUAACAAUUAUUCCGUAGCCCUAAAGGCACUGAGAUGACUUUUUAACGCUAGGACAAGACACGUAUUUUUAAGGGCAAAAUUGAUAGGCAUGGGAGAUAAGUACAAAAUACGCUAAGAAAAGCAACGCGAACCUAUAUUUUUGGGACCAAAAAAUAC
This 234-nucleotide long non-coding RNA is filed under the name Mytilus galloprovincialis (Mediterranean mussel). Lineage: Eukaryota; Metazoa; Mollusca; Bivalvia; Mytilida; Mytilidae. The record is from RNAcentral.